AUGGCUGUCGUCAGCUCGUGUCGUGAGAUGUUCGGUUAAGUCCGCUAACGAGCGCAACCCUCGCUGUGUGUUAUAUGUGUCACACGGGACUGCCGGUCUUAAGCCGGAGGAAGUGGGAUGAUGUCAAGUCAGCAUGGCCUUUAUAUCCUGGGCUACACACACGCUACAAUGGCCAACACAAUAGGUUGCUAAGCCGCGAGGUGGCGCCAAUCCAUAAAGUUGGUCUCAGUUCAGAUUGUAGGCUGCAACCCGCCUGCAUGAAGAUGGAGUUGCUAGUAACCGCAGGUCAGCUAUACUGCGGUGAAUACGUUCCCGGGGCUU
RNAcentral lists this ribosomal RNA (321 nucleotides) under uncultured Leptolinea sp. Its description in RNAcentral is "bacterial SSU rRNA". It matches the Rfam family "Bacterial small subunit ribosomal RNA", at positions 1045 to 1382 of the family's 1533-position model. Lineage: Bacteria; Bacillati; Chloroflexota; Anaerolineae; Anaerolineales; Anaerolineaceae. The record is from RNAcentral.